RNAcentral lists this ribosomal RNA (338 nucleotides) under Amblyomma triste. RNAcentral's name for it is "partial 16S ribosomal RNA". The record is from RNAcentral. Lineage: Eukaryota; Metazoa; Arthropoda; Arachnida; Ixodida; Ixodidae.
AAUAAGACUUUAAUUGAGUGCUAAGAGAAUGGAAUUUCAUAAAAUUUCUUUUUUAAUUUUAAAAAUUGAAAUUAAUUUUAUAUGUGAAGAAACAAUAAUAAAAAUUAAGGACAAGAAGACCCUAAGAAUUUUAAAGAUUUCAAUAAAAUUUUGUAUUUUAUUGAAAUCUUUUAAUUGGGGCGAUUAUUAAAUAUUAAAAACUUUAAUUUUUUUAAAAAAGAACCAAUAAUAUUGGUUAUUUGAAAAAAUACUCUAGGGAUAACAGCGUAAUAAUUUUUGAUAGUUCUUAUAGACAAAAUAGUUUGCGACCUCGAUGUUGGAUUAGGAUUCUUUUUUAA